AGAGUUUGAUCAUGGCUCAGGACGAACGCUGGCGGCGUGCCUAACACAUGCAAGUCGAACGGGGUUACACGAGGUGCUUGCACCAUGUGUAGCCUAGUGGCGGACGGGUGAGUAACGCGUGAGCAACCUGCCUUUCAGAGGGGGAUAACAACGGGAAACCGUUGCUAAUACCGCAUAAUACCGGAUGAUGGCAUCAUUGACCGGUCAAAGGAGCAAUCCGCUGAAAGAUGGGCUCGCGUCCCAUUAGGUAGUUGGUGGGGUAAAGGCCUACCAAGCCGACGAUGGGUAGCCGGACUGAGAGGUUGAUCGGCCACAUUGGAGCUGAGACACGGUCCAAACUCCUACGGGAGGCAGCA
Molecule: ribosomal RNA, 356 nt
Filed under: uncultured bacterium
Lineage: Bacteria
Description: bacterial SSU rRNA
Rfam family: Bacterial small subunit ribosomal RNA
Source: RNAcentral